RNAcentral lists this ribosomal RNA (481 nucleotides) under uncultured bacterium. RNAcentral describes it as "partial 16S ribosomal RNA". It matches the Rfam family "Bacterial small subunit ribosomal RNA", at positions 28 to 507 of the family's 1533-position model. The record is from RNAcentral.
GAUGAACGCUGGCGGCGUGCUUAACACAUGCAAGUCGAACGGAGCACUUUAUUUGAUUUCCUUCGGUACUGAUGAUUUUGUGACUGAGUGGCGGACGGGUGAGUAACGCGUGGGUAACCUGCCUUGUACAGGGGGAUAACAGUUGGAAACAGCUGCUAAUACCGCAUAGGCGCGCGGCAUCGCAUGAUGCGGUGGGAAAAACUCCGGUGGUAUAAGAUGGACCCGCGUUGGAUUUGCGAGUUGGUGAGGUAACGGCACACCAAGGCGGCGAUCCAUAACCGAGCGGGGAGGGUGCCAGGCUACAUUGGGAAUGAGACACGGACCCAAAUCCGAGGGGAGGGAGGAGAAGGGAGUACUGCAGGAUGGGCGAAAGUGUGAUGCAGCGGCGUCGGGUGAGAGAAGAAGUAUUUCGGAAUGCACAGCUGUAUCAGAAGGGAAGAUAAUGACGGUACCUGACAAAGAAGCACCGGCUAACUACGUG